GGUUGUGGCUCAGUGGUAUAGAGCACUUGCCUGGCAUGUGUGAGGGAGGCCCUGGGUUCUAUCCUCAGCACCA
RNAcentral lists this transfer RNA (73 nucleotides) under Marmota monax (woodchuck). RNAcentral describes it as "tRNA.Ala". The record is from RNAcentral. Lineage: Eukaryota; Metazoa; Chordata; Mammalia; Rodentia; Sciuridae.